UAAUGGGCAUUUAGUCACACUUCCUGGCCUGCACUUUGUCAGGGUUCACAGGGUAAAUUAGGUCCAAAAUUGAUCUCAGAAUGGUGAUUCAUUUAAUAAAUAAAUUCAACAUUGAAGGCUGUCAUUGGAAUUUGAAAACGGAAUUCACUUAGCACCUAAAAUCACAGGGAUUGACACGAGAGGGGUUUAACAAUUGAUUAUCAUCUGAGUUAAACAAAUAAAAUAUAUUAAUUGCAUAGCAUUUUACAUUGAAUCUUUCUGGUAUCAGUUAUUCUUGCAGUAAGAUGCUCCUGUGUGUUGUGGCUUUAGCUCUGCCUGACCUUUAAUCUGUAUUUCAAGGGACACACUGCUGAUUGGGAAAGAGCACCCUCUGUCACGCUCAAGAGCCGGGGAUUUCACGGUCUGCUUCAGGUCAUUGAACUGACAUCUGUGUCCAGUGGGUGAUUUGUCUUCUUUUAAUUCACGUAAAACAGAGCAAGAGCACUGACUGUAGGCAGCCAGCAGGGGCCUGCCCACUUCCCACCCUGGGGAAUGUCCAGCUGACAGACAGACAGCCGCUGAGAAAAGGCACUGGGGUGUCUUUGAAGGGACUGUGCCACCAAAUACCUGAAGACCUGUCACAAUGAUAAGUAUGACCUUGUGUUGUCUCUCAGCUGCUGCUGUUGCUGCUUACAGUAAGAGUUGGGGGCUGGUAGAAGUGUGUGUGUGUGUCACACCCUGAUCUGUUUCACCUGUCUUGUGCUUGUCUCCACCCCCCACCAGGU
Molecule: long non-coding RNA, 764 nt
Organism: Coregonus clupeaformis (lake whitefish)
Lineage: Eukaryota; Metazoa; Chordata; Actinopteri; Salmoniformes; Salmonidae
Exons: 3
Source: RefSeq, a predicted model, not a curated record